CUGAACCAGCCAAGUAGCGUGAAGGAUGAAGGCUCUAUGGGUCGUAAACUUCUUUUAUAUGGGAAUAAAGUUUUCCACGUGUGGAAUUUUGUAUGUACCAUAUGAAUAAGGAUCGGCUAACUCCGUGCCAGCAGCCGCGGUAAUACGGAGGAUCCGAGCGUUAUCCGGAUUUAUUGGGUUUAAAGGGAGCGUAGGUGGACUGUUAAGUCAGUUGUGAAAGUUUGCGG
RNAcentral lists this ribosomal RNA (227 nucleotides) under uncultured bacterium. RNAcentral's name for it is "partial 16S ribosomal RNA". It matches the Rfam family "Bacterial small subunit ribosomal RNA", at positions 383 to 607 of the family's 1533-position model. The record is from RNAcentral.